Podarcis lilfordi (Lilford's wall lizard) is the source of this 139-nucleotide non-coding RNA. Lineage: Eukaryota; Metazoa; Chordata; Lepidosauria; Squamata; Lacertidae. The record is from the annotation of a GenBank genome assembly.
AAACACACACACACACACGCAUGUACCCAACAUCUGCCCUCCACCUGUGUACUAUUUCAUACUGGCCCAAAAACUUGCCUUUUGAGUGGAAGUGCCUAGAAAAGUGUUUGUGUGUGUGUGUGUGUGUGUGUGUGUGUGU